This 280-nucleotide RNase MRP RNA is filed under the name Notamacropus eugenii (tammar wallaby). Its description in RNAcentral is "RNase MRP (ENSMEUG00000017053.1)". It matches the Rfam family "RNase MRP". Rfam says of the family: RNase MRP is an enzymatically active ribonucleoprotein with two distinct roles in eukaryotes. In mitochondria it plays a direct role in the initiation of mitochondrial DNA replication. The record is from RNAcentral. Lineage: Eukaryota; Metazoa; Chordata; Mammalia; Diprotodontia; Macropodidae.
AGGCGCUUGCUGAAGGCCUGUUUCCUAGGCUACAAACGGGGGACGUGUUCCCAAUCUUCGCGCCUAGGGGAAAGUCCCCGGACCCUUGGCAGAAAGUGCCCCGCACGCAUGUGCGGCUGGUCGAUGCCGCAGCUCUCCUCUCCCGCCGAGAAGCACCCUCACCUCUGUGGGGGCGCCGAGCGGAAGGAGCGCGGCGAGGCCUCCCCUAGUCCAGAGAAUAGUUACGCAGGCAGUGCGCCCUGGCGCGCACCAACUCAACGGGGCUCAUUCUCAGCGCGUC